Molecule: non-coding RNA, 415 nt
Organism: Grammomys surdaster
Lineage: Eukaryota; Metazoa; Chordata; Mammalia; Rodentia; Muridae
Source: the annotation of a RefSeq genome assembly
CCCUGUGCUGUAGUCAGCUGCACUAAGGACACAGUGUAGACAUGAGAGCUCUCAUUCAACUCCUGAGUUUCCUGGUUCUCUGGCUCCCAGGUGCUCAGUGUGACAUCCAGAUGACCCAGAACCAAGUUUCUCUGUCUGCUUUCAUAGGAGAAAAGGUUAUCAUCACUUGCCAGGCCAGUCAAGAUAUUAGUAGAUAUUUAGGCUGGUAUCAACAGAAACCAGGAAAAAGUCCCAAGUUUCUGAUAUAUUAUACAUCCACUUUACUUUCUGGGGUCCCAUCAAGGUUCAGUGGUAGUGGAUAUGGGACAGAGUAUUCUCUCACUAUCAGUGGCAUUCAGCCUGAAGAUGCUGCAACUUACUACUGUCAACAGUGUCACAGUUACCCUCCACAGUGACAGAGAUCAUAACAAAAACU